CAGAACACUGAGAAGCAAGAAUUAUUUUAUUUUCUGUCCUUGAGAGAAGAAGACACUUAGCACUCUACAGAACUCAGUGUGAGAAGAGUACAUGUGAUCUGUGGUCGUUGUAAAAUAUGUCUGCACAUCCCUGACACUCAGAGUUCACAACCCCUGCCCCCUGCAAUCCCCCUCAUAAAUCAUUUGACUGUUGUUCCCUUCUGCCAUUUAUGAACCCUCAAUCUGGGUUGGUUUUCCUGGGAGAGGAGGGACAUACCCCCUCCCCCAUUCUCCUUCCAUGCAUCUGGGAUGGGCUCUCCCCUUGGCUUCAGUGAUGAACCGUGUGGCCCAGGCUGGCCCUCAGCAAAUGUCUGACAACUGAGCAUCUAGAUGAACUGAGCCCCCUCCUCAGGCCCCUUGUGUAGGGAACCGGUGGGCAGAGGCCUCAUCCCCUUCUCUCAUCUCUGGUGAGACACCACCACACAGCCACAUUCCCUGGAGAUUGGAGUGCCUGCACCCCCUUUUACCCAGUGUCUCCAGAGCUCAUUGCUCAGUAGAUGGGGCCCAGGAGGGAGGAGGCAGAGGAUGGGGGUGGUCAAUGAGAGUGUGGGACUCCUCCUCACCUCCUUUCUCCAGGCAAAGCCAUCAAUCCCUGGCGGGGAGGAGAGUGACUCCGCCAGCCCUGCCACAG
RNAcentral lists this long non-coding RNA (670 nucleotides) under Homo sapiens (human). RNAcentral describes it as "non-protein coding lnc-ZCCHC17-15:1". The record is from RNAcentral. Lineage: Eukaryota; Metazoa; Chordata; Mammalia; Primates; Hominidae.